GUGCUCAUUUCAGCAGGAUAUAAACUAAAAUUGGAACAAUACAGAGACAAUUAGCAUGGCUCCUGUGCAAGGAUGACAUGAAAUUUAUGAAAGCAUUCCAUAUUUUU
Molecule: small nuclear RNA, 107 nt
Organism: Nannospalax galili (Upper Galilee mountains blind mole rat)
Lineage: Eukaryota; Metazoa; Chordata; Mammalia; Rodentia; Spalacidae
Source: Ensembl